AAAAAGGAUUUUUUAAAAUCUAAAACACAUUUUCAAGAACUGUUUUU
This is a non-coding RNA of Reticulomyxa filosa, 47 nucleotides long. The record is from Rfam. NCBI's taxonomy places the organism in Eukaryota, Foraminifera, Reticulomyxidae.